GGUGGGAUCCUUCGGAAGGACCAACA
RNAcentral lists this non-coding RNA (26 nucleotides) under Rattus norvegicus (Norway rat). Lineage: Eukaryota; Metazoa; Chordata; Mammalia; Rodentia; Muridae. The record is from RNAcentral.